CCUACGGGAGGCAGCAGUGAGGAAUACUGCACAAUGGGCGAAAGCCUGAUGCAGCCAUGCCGCGUGUGUGAAGAAGGCCUUCGGGUUGUAAAGCACUUUCAGUUGUGAGGAAAGGUAAGUAGUUAAUAACUGCUUGCUGUGACGUUAGCAACAGAAGAAGCCCCGGCUAACUCCGUGCCAGCAGCCGCGGUAAU
Molecule: ribosomal RNA, 194 nt
Filed under: uncultured bacterium
Lineage: Bacteria
Description: partial 16S ribosomal RNA
Rfam family: Bacterial small subunit ribosomal RNA
Source: RNAcentral